GGAUGUGAGGGUGAUCUGACUGUGACAUCUAUUACCCCAUUGAUCGCCAGGGUUGAUUCGGCUGAUCUGGCUGGAGAGGUGGGUGUCCCCUUCCUCCCUCACCUCUCCAUGUGCUUCCCUCCCAAAGCUGCACACUCUUGGAAGAGGACGACGUUCCAGGUAUAGAAGGAGUGUAGCGAGGUCUCCAGUCUUUGUUC
RNAcentral lists this small nuclear RNA (197 nucleotides) under Anolis carolinensis (green anole). Its description in RNAcentral is "7SK RNA". It matches the Rfam family "7SK RNA". Rfam says of the family: 7SK was discovered as an abundant small nuclear RNA in the mid-70s but a possible function has only recently been suggested. Two independent studies have found that 7SK RNA binds the CDK9/cyclin T complex (known as elongation factor P-TEFb). Lineage: Eukaryota; Metazoa; Chordata; Lepidosauria; Squamata; Anolidae. The record is from Rfam by way of RNAcentral.